UAGGGAAUCUUCGGCAAUGGGGGCAACCCUGACCGAGCAACGCCGCGUGAGUGAAGAAGGUUUUCGGAUCGUAAAGCUCUGUUGUAAGAGAAGAACGUGUGUGAGAGUGGAAAGUUCACACAGUGACGGUAACUUACCAGAAAGGGACGGCUAACUACGUGCCAGCAGCCGCGGUAAUACGUAGGUCCCGAGCGUUGUCCGGAUUUAUUGGGCGUAAAGCGAGCGCAGGCGGUUUAAUAAGUCUGAAGUUAAAGGCAGUGGCUUAACCAUUGUUCGCUUUGGAAACUGUUAAACUUGAGUGCAGGAGGGGAGAGUGGAAUUCCAUGUGUAGCGGUGAAAUGCGUAGAUAUAUGGGGGAACACCGGUGGCGAAAGCGGCUCUCUGGUCUGUAACUGACGCUGAGGCUCGAAAGCGUGGGGGGCAAACAGG
This 429-nucleotide ribosomal RNA is filed under the name bacterium. RNAcentral describes it as "partial 16S ribosomal RNA". It matches the Rfam family "Bacterial small subunit ribosomal RNA", at positions 355 to 776 of the family's 1533-position model. The record is from RNAcentral.